RNAcentral lists this ribosomal RNA (403 nucleotides) under uncultured bacterium. RNAcentral describes it as "partial 16S ribosomal RNA". It matches the Rfam family "Bacterial small subunit ribosomal RNA", at positions 28 to 526 of the family's 1533-position model. The record is from RNAcentral.
GACGAACGCUGGCGGCGUGCCUAAUACAUGCAAGUCGAACGCAGUGGGGACGGGUGAUUAACACGUGGGUAACCUCCCCUCAGAGGGGAUAACCCUUGGCAACAGGUGCUAAACCGCUACUGAUGGAUGGACCCGCUGUGCAUUAGCUAGUUGGUGAGGUAACGGCUCACCAAGGCCAAGAUGCAUAGCCGACCUGAGAGGGUGAUCGGCCACACUGGGACUGAGACACGGCCCAGACUCCUACGGGAGGCAGCAGUAGGGAAUCUACGGCAAUGGACGAAAGUCUGACCGAGCAACGCCGCGUGAGUGAAGAAGGUUUUCGGAUCGUAAAACUCUGUUGUUAGAGAAGCGGUAGCUAACCAGAAAGCCACGGCUAACUACGUGCCAGCCGCCGCGGUAAUUC